CCACCAUAUGGCCAUAGUGUGUUAAACCCACCACCGAUAUUGGGGUACUGAGACGUAGUGAUGAGUUUAACACACUAUGGCCAUAUGGUGGAAC
Molecule: non-coding RNA, 94 nt
Organism: Pelobates cultripes (western spadefoot toad)
Lineage: Eukaryota; Metazoa; Chordata; Amphibia; Anura; Pelobatidae
Source: the annotation of a GenBank genome assembly